AACGAACGCUGGCGGCAGGCCUAACACAUGCAAGUCGAGCGGACCUUUCGGGGUCAGCGGCGGACGGGUGAGUAACGCGUGGGAAUAUGCCCUUCUCUACGGAAUAGUCCUGGGAAACUGGGGGUAAUACCGUAUACGCCCUUUGGGGGAAAGAUUUAUCGGGGAAGGAUUAGCCCGCGUUGGAUUAGGUAGUUGGUGGGGUAAUGGCCUACCAAGCCGAGGAUCCAUAGCUGGUUUGAGAGGAUGAUCAGCCACACUGGGACUGAGACACGGCCCAGACUCCUACGCGAGGCAGCAGUGGGGAAUCUUAGACAAUGGGGGCAACCCUGAUCUAGCCAUGCCGCGUAAGUGAUGAAGGCCUUAGGGUAGUAAAGCUCUUUCAGCUGGGAAGAUAAUGACGGUACCAGCAGAAGAAGCCCCGGCUAACUCCGUG
RNAcentral lists this ribosomal RNA (433 nucleotides) under uncultured bacterium. Its description in RNAcentral is "partial 16S ribosomal RNA". It matches the Rfam family "Bacterial small subunit ribosomal RNA", at positions 29 to 507 of the family's 1533-position model. The record is from RNAcentral.